UGGUUCUGGCAUCGAUGAAGAACGCAGCGAAAUGCGAUAAGUAAUGUGAAUUGCAGAAUUCAGUGAAUCAUCGAAUCUUUGAACGCACAUUGCGCCCGCUAGUAUUCUGGCGGGCAUGCCUGUUCGAGCGUCAUUUCAACCCUCGGGCCCCGCUUUCUUGCGGGCUCCGGCGUUGGGGACCGGUCGGUAUCGACCGCCCCCGAAACACAGUGGCGGUCCCGCCGCGGCCUUCUCUGCGUAGUAGCAUACACCUCGCAGUGGAGAGCGGCGCGGCCACGCCGUUAAAAAAACGAACUUCUGAAGGUUGACCUCGGAUCAGGUAGGAAUACCCGCUGA
RNAcentral lists this unclassified non-coding RNA (336 nucleotides) under uncultured fungus. Its description in RNAcentral is "partial contains 5.8S ribosomal RNA and internal transcribed spacer 2". The stretch from base 1 to 133 matches the Rfam family "5.8S ribosomal RNA", at positions 22 to 154 of the family's 154-position model. Lineage: Eukaryota; Fungi. The record is from RNAcentral.